Molecule: ribosomal RNA, 439 nt
Filed under: uncultured bacterium
Lineage: Bacteria
Description: partial 16S ribosomal RNA
Rfam family: Bacterial small subunit ribosomal RNA
Source: RNAcentral
CUACGGGGGGCUGCAGUAGGGAAUCUUAGACAAUGGGGGAAACCCUGAUCUAGCCAUGCCGCGUGAGCGAUGAAGGCCUUAGGGUUGUAAAGCUCUUUCGCUGGGGAAGAUAAUGACGGUACCCAGUAAAGAAACCCCGGCUAACUCCGUGCCAGCAGCCGCGGUAAUACGGAGGGGGUUAGCGUUGUUCGGAAUUACUGGGCGUAAAGCGCGCGUAGGCGGGCUAUUAAGUCAGGGGUGAAAUCCCGGGGCUCAACCCCGGAACUGCCUUUGAUACUGGUAGUCUUGAGUUCGAGAGAGGUGAGUGGAAUUCCGAGUGUAGAGGUGAAAUUCGUAGAUAUUCGGAGGAACAUCAGUGGCGAAGGCGACUCACUGGCUCGAUACUGACGCUGAGGUGCGAAAGCGUGGGGAGCAAACAGGAUUAGAUACCCUUGUAGUC